RNAcentral lists this ribosomal RNA (440 nucleotides) under uncultured bacterium. RNAcentral describes it as "partial 16S ribosomal RNA". It matches the Rfam family "Bacterial small subunit ribosomal RNA", at positions 338 to 795 of the family's 1533-position model. The record is from RNAcentral.
CCUACGGGUGUCAGCAGUGGGGGAUAUUGCACAAUGGGGGGAACCCUGAUGCAGCGACGCCGCGUGGGUGAAGAAGCGCCUCGGCGCGUAAAGCCCUGUCAGCAGGGAAGAAAAUGACGGUACCUGAAGAAGAAGCCCCGGCUAACUACGUGCCAGCAGCCGCGGUAAUACGUAGGGGGCAAGCGUUAUCCGGAUUUACUGGGUGUAAAGUGUGCGCAGACGGCUGUGCAAGCCAGGAGUGAAAGCCCGGGGCGCAACCCCGGGACUGCUCUUGGAACUGCGUGGCUGGAGUGCAGGAGGGGCAGGCGGAAUUCCUGGUGUAGCGGUGAAAUGCGUAGAUAUCACGCAGAACCCCGAUUGCGAAGGCAGCAUACCGGUGCACAACUGACGCUCAGGCACGAAAGCGUGGGUAUCGAACAGGAUUAGAUACCCUGGUAGUC